Molecule: unclassified non-coding RNA, 301 nt
Filed under: Hyphodontia pallidula
Lineage: Eukaryota; Fungi; Basidiomycota; Agaricomycetes; Hymenochaetales; Schizoporaceae
Description: partial contains 5.8S ribosomal RNA, internal transcribed spacer 2, and large subunit ribosomal RNA
Source: RNAcentral
CGCACCUUGCGCUCCUUGGUAUUCCGAGGAGCAUGCCUGUUUGAGUGUCAUGAAAUCAUCAACCUCGCCGACUUUGUUGUCCGGUGUAGGCUUGGACUUGGGGAAUAUAUGCGGGCCCCCUCGGGGUCGGCUUCCCUUGAAUGCAUUAGCUCGGAGGUUAGUCUCCGUCCGAACGGUGUGAUAAACGUCAUUCAUCGAUCGGCGGUGGCUGUGCUCGGCUUCUAACGGUCGCCGCUUCGGCGACAAGAUCUUCAUUGACUCAUCUGACCUCAAAUCAGGUAGGACUACCCGCUGAACUUAA